CUCUCUCUCUCUCUCUGGCCAACAAAUCUGUGAAGAAUGAAGGUGGUGGCGUUGUGGUGUUCCGACCAAUAAACUCUAGAUCCGGGCUGCCAUCUCAAAUAACCAUCAUCAUACCCAUCGGCUUUCAGAUCUCUAUUGUGUUUUCGAAGCUUUCAGAUGUGUUGUUGAGUGGCUUUCAAAGCUUUAAGAUCUGUAUUCUUCUCCGCUCAUAUCUGAACGGUGGCAGUGGUGCUUUGUUAGCAACUAUAAAGAUUUAGAAGAAAUAUUUUAGGCUAUGUAUCUGGGUCGGUGGUUGUACAAACAAGGAGCAUCUGAUUGCUUUGUAAUUCGGGUCAAAUUGUUGUGUACAGAUCUUAUCUCUUAGUGGAAUAUAAGGUAAAAUUAUUAUAUUCUUGUUUUUAAAUUGUUAUUUGGGUAAAUGUGGAUGAAAGGGUAAUUGUGGACUCAAUGAAAGUUAGUUAG
RNAcentral lists this long non-coding RNA (462 nucleotides) under Helianthus annuus (common sunflower). RNAcentral's name for it is "sRNA HanXRQr2_Chr10g0423571". Lineage: Eukaryota; Viridiplantae; Streptophyta; Magnoliopsida; Asterales; Asteraceae. The record is from RNAcentral.